GCUGUCUUCAUGUACGCUGACCAUGGAUGUGAUCAGCAAAAAAAGGAAAUCACGAAGACUGGGACCAGCAUACCGUGAAUGAUGUCGCUGCACUGAAAGCGAUUGGAGUGACGGCGAGAUACAAACAGGUUGCUGCUGCGAAGAGGGCUGCCAGUCAAAAACAGAGUUGCAGACCAGCGAAGUGCAUGAAUGUGCACUUAUCAAAAUCAUUGCUUGUCUUCGUAGGAAGAAGCAUACCAGCUUGUUCGGCAUUGUAUCUGGAGCCACAGCAUACCACCAACCUUCGAUACAACCAGGGUCGAUGUGUCCAUUACAAUCUCGGAGGCUGCGUGUGGGUCUGGACGCCUAUCCGUCACUGCAGACUCUUCGAAAAGUUGUGGCACUGGUGUUAUGGUCCCUACAAGGUUACGCGCCACCUCAGUAACGAAACGUACGAAGUCGUCCUCCACAGUUCUGACCCCGGCUGCUCCAUCAUCGUCCUCGCGCUCAAAUUGUCCGCAUAAAGCCAUACUAUGCACGUACGUGAACAUCCAGACGACACCUCAGGAGCUCCAUUUUGUGCCGUUAAUUCUGCUCAAGGAACUUUUUGACGUGACCAAGUGUCA
Molecule: long non-coding RNA, 605 nt
Organism: Dermacentor andersoni
Lineage: Eukaryota; Metazoa; Arthropoda; Arachnida; Ixodida; Ixodidae
Source: RefSeq, a predicted model, not a curated record